This 460-nucleotide ribosomal RNA is filed under the name uncultured bacterium. Its description in RNAcentral is "partial 16S ribosomal RNA". It matches the Rfam family "Bacterial small subunit ribosomal RNA", at positions 338 to 795 of the family's 1533-position model. The record is from RNAcentral.
CCUACGGGAGGCAGCAGUGAGGAAUAUUGGUCAAUGGACGAGAGUCUGAACCAGCCAAGUAGCGUGAAGGAUGACUGCCCUAUGGGUUGUAAACUUCUUUUAUAUGGGAAUAAAAUGUUCCACGUGUGGGAUUUUGUAUGUACCAUAUGAAUAAGGAUCGGCUAACUCCGUGCCAGCAGCCGCGGUAAUACGGAGGAUCCGAGCGUUAUCCGGAUUUAUUGGGUUUAAAGGGAGCGUAGGUGGAUUGUUAAGUCAGUUGUGAAAGUUUGCGGCUCAACCGUAAAAUUGCAGUUGAAACUGGCAGUCUUGAGUACAGUAGAGGUGGGCGGAAUUCGUGGUGUAGCGGUGAAAUGCUUAGAUGUCACGAAGAACUCCGAUUGCGAAGGCAGUUCACUGGACUGCAACUGACACUGAGGCUCGAAAGUGUGGGUAUCAAACAGGAUUAGAUACCCGUGUAGUC